AGCGAACGCUGGCGGCAGGCUUAACACAUGCAAGUCGAGCGGAUGUAGCAAUACAUCAGCGGCAGACGGGAGAGUAACACGUGGGAACGUACCCUUCAGUUCGGAACAACCCAGGGAAACGUUGGGCUAAUACCGGAUACGUCCGUAAGGAGAAAGAUUUAUCGCUGAGGGAUCGGCCCGCGUCUGAUUAGCUAGUUGGUGAGGUAACGGCUCACCAAGGCGACGAUCAGUAGCUGGUCUGAGAGGAUGAUCAGCCUCACUGGGACUGAGACACGGCCCAGACUCCUACGGGAGGCAGCAGUGGGGAAUAUUGGACAAUGGGCGCAAGCCUGAUCCAGCCAUGCCGCGUGGGUGAUGAAGGCCCUAGGGUUGUAAAGCCCUUUCGGCGGGGAA
This 393-nucleotide ribosomal RNA is filed under the name uncultured bacterium. RNAcentral's name for it is "bacterial SSU rRNA". It matches the Rfam family "Bacterial small subunit ribosomal RNA", at positions 29 to 446 of the family's 1533-position model. The record is from RNAcentral.